GAUGAACGCUGGCGGCGUGCUUAACACAUGCAAGUCGAACGAAGCACCUUGAUUUGAUUCUUCGGAUGAAGAUCUUGGUGACUGAGUGGCGGACGGGUGAGUAACGCGUGGGUAACCUGCCUCAUACAGGGGGAUAACAGUUAGAAAUGACUGCUAAUACCGCAUAAGACCACAGCACCGCAUGGUGCAGGGGUAAAAGCUCCGGUGGUAUGAGAUGGACCCGCGUCUGAUUAGGUAGUUGGUGGGGUAACGGCCUACCAAGCCGACGAUCAGUAGCCGACCUGAGAGGGUGACCGGCCACAUUGGGACUGAGACACGGCCCAAACUCCUACGGGAGGCAGCAGUGGGGAAUAUUGCACAAUGGGGGAAACCCUGAUGCAGCGACGCCGCGUGAGCGAUGAAGUAUUUCGGUAUGUAAAGCUCUAUCAGCAGGGAAGAAAAUGACGGUACCUGACUAAGAAGCACCGGCUAAAUACGUG
RNAcentral lists this ribosomal RNA (479 nucleotides) under uncultured bacterium. Its description in RNAcentral is "partial 16S ribosomal RNA". It matches the Rfam family "Bacterial small subunit ribosomal RNA", at positions 28 to 507 of the family's 1533-position model. The record is from RNAcentral.